Long non-coding RNA from Meriones unguiculatus (Mongolian gerbil), 771 nucleotides. RefSeq lists it as uncharacterized. Lineage: Eukaryota; Metazoa; Chordata; Mammalia; Rodentia; Muridae. The transcript is spliced from 3 exons. The record is from RefSeq and is a predicted model, not a curated record.
GCACUUUUCAGUGUCCCUUUGACAUGUUAUCACUUCAGGCAUGGUUUCUCUUGCCCUUGGGGCCAUUGUGAAGGGUAAUCUGAAUGUAAGCGCUGUCGUCACAAUGGCCACUGAGUGACUGAGGGUAUAUACAGUGCGGACCCGCUGGACACCAAUGAGUCACAUCCUGGAUGAGGCAGCACCCAGGCGGCAUGGCAGGAUUUCAUCACCCCAUUUAAGCAGUACGCUGUUUAGAAUGCUAGCCGUUGAUUCUGGGGCUUUUCCACUUGCUGCAUCGGACUGUGAGUGACCAAGAACAGUGAGACUACAGAAAGUGAGACUGCAAAGCAGAGGCCUAUUCUUCUCUCUCGGAGAGAUAAGUCAAGGCUACAGGGGUGAAUAAGCACACCCCAAGUAGAUGUCUCAAUUCCAGGAGCCUACCCAGGCCCUCUACAGCCUUCACAGAGGAUGUGCUCGGGCUUUCUAUCUCUCGUGUGGAAGAAGAGCAAGGAGCCACCAUAGACAGAUGGGAGAGAAGAAGUUCUUCACCCGUUCUCAGUGCUUCCAUGGGAGGCUGGGCCAGUUCCUGCAAAACAUCACUGUCAAUCCUGAGAAAGGCUAAAUUAAACCUUGAGAGCACAGCGUAUGGAAGAGGUGACCCUUGGCCCGUGCCUGCAUGCUCGGCAUGACCGGCAUGGUCUGUCUCCAUGGCCUUUGAACCGUGUUGGACUCAGUGAUUCCACUAAAGCCCCCACUGUAGCAGCCUCGUCAGGACACACCCAUGUCCCAAAC